Thunnus maccoyii (southern bluefin tuna) is the source of this 6644-nucleotide RNA transcript. It is a transcript of the gene named protocadherin alpha-C2-like, with no coding region annotated. Lineage: Eukaryota; Metazoa; Chordata; Actinopteri; Scombriformes; Scombridae. The record is from RefSeq and is a predicted model, not a curated record. The transcript is spliced from 2 exons.
AUAAGAGUGUUUUCUUUUUUUUUUUUAACAAAGUCGAAAACGCUCAUACAAGACUAUUUUCGUCGCUGCUCUCCACCAAAACACACUCUCUGAUGAGGUCAUUGUUCUCACGAUAGUUUAUUGGAGGAAGGAGGAAGUCAGACCCUGUGUAAGAGGGGCGUCACGGUUGGUCUAAGCCACGGUCUAAGCGCAAAGGAACGUUUACGUUUAAGAUCCCUGUUUCGUUUGUUCAUUUAACAAGAGGACGUUUCAUCCACAUUUCAACACAUUUCAAGGUUUUUAAUACGGAUCAUUCACGAUGGUGCAUCAUGUCCGACAGUUAUUUGGGAGAGGGUAUGUUUCAGUAUUUCUCCUUCUUUCUGCCACGAUGAUCACGGUAUCUACCGUCACCCAUUAUUCUGUUCCCGAAGAAAUGGAGGAAGGCUCAGUCGUUGCUAAUUUAGCAACUGAUCUGGGAUUAGAUGUGAAGACGCUAAAAGGAAGGAAAAUGCGCUUAGACGUUGUAGGCAAUAAAAAAUAUUUUGACAUCAACAAGGACACGGGAGAGCUGUUUAUUUUGGAAAGAAUAGACAGAGAGUUUUUGUGCCCCUUGAAAAAUGCGCACUGCUUUCUUAAGUUGGAUGCUAUGAUUGAAAACCCAAUACGAAUGUUUAAUAUCGAGGUCGAAAUUAUGGAUAUUAAUGAUAACGCUCCUCAUUUUCGGCGGGGAACGAUGCAUUUGGACAUAUCUGAAUCAAGCCCCGUUGGAGAGAGAUUCUCACUGAAUAACGCUGCAGACCCAGAUGUUGGAACGAAUUCUGUGAAAGAUUACCAUCUGAGCUCAAGCGAAUAUUUUGCGCUUGAAAUUCAGACCGGUAGAGACGGGACAAAGUUUGCUGAUUUGAUUCUGAAAAAAACUUUAGAUAGAGAGCAGCAGCCUGUUCAUAAUUUAAUACUGACUGCUGUGGACGGUGGAGUCCCCACGCGCACAGGUACAGCCAGUAUCAUUAUCCGCGUGCUCGAUGUCAACGACAAUGCCCCUUCAUUUGACAAAGACAAAUACACCGUAGAUGUGAUGGAGAACUCUCCGAUUGGCAGUCUAGUAAUUAAACUAAAUGCCACUGACUUAGAUGAAGGGUCCAACUCUGAUAUAGUUUAUUCAUAUAGUUUGUAUACAUCAGAGAGAACACAAAAUAUGUUUAGCUUGAAUCCAGAAAAUGGUGAAAUCAGAGUGAAAGAGAUGAUAAAUUAUGAAGAUUUGAGACUUUAUGAAAUGGAGGUUAUUGCCAGUGAUAAAGGGCCAAACUCAUUAUCUGGACAGUGUAAACUGACAAUACAGGUCACAGAUAUGAAUGACAAUCACCCAGAAAUAUCCAUCAAAUCAUUUCAUAGUCCGAUCAAAGAAGAUACUGCAGUAGACACAGUGAUAGCAGUAGUUAGUGUUAAUGAUAAAGACUCAGGUGACAACGGAGUGGUUGAUCUUUAUAUUCCAGAUAAUAUGCCUUUCAAACUGAGGGAAUCAUCUGAUAACUAUUAUGAGUUAGUGGUCUCAGAGCCUUUAGACCGUGAGAAGGUCCCAGAAUACGACAUCACUUUCACUGUAACAGACAGAGGUUCUCCUCCUUUAUCUGACAAUGAAACUAUGACUUUAGAGCUGCUGGAUGUGAAUGACAAUGUUCCACAGUUCCCUCAGUCAUUUUAUACUAUACGUGUAAUGGAGAAUAACGCACCUGGGGCCUUGCUCAGUUCACUCACUGCGUUUGACCCUGACCUCCAUGAAAACCAGUAUCUAGUUUAUUUCAUCCUAGAGAAGGAGAUAGCCAACACCUCCAUGUCCAUGCUGUUCUCCAUCAAUCCAGAGAAUGGUAAUCUUUACGCACUAAAAACUUUUGACUAUGAGAUUGAAAAGGAGUUUCUUUUUCACAUCGAGGCCAGAGACUCUGGUUCUCCUCCACUCAGCAGCAACGUGACCGUCCAUAUCAUUAUUGUGGACCAAAACGACAACGCUCCGGUCAUUGUCUCUCCGUGGCGUGCGCACGGCUCCGUAGUGGAGGAAAAAAUCCCCAGAUCCACCGAUAAAGGCUCCCUGGUUGCGAAGGUGAUAGCCUUAGACACCGACUCGGUGCACAACUCUCGGAUUACCUACCAGUUUCUACAGGUGACUGACGCCACCUUGUUCAGUCUGGAUCAAUACAACGGAGAGAUCCGGACUAUGAGGAUGUUCAGUUACAGAGAUCCGCGACACCAGAGACUGGUUGUUAUUGCCAAGGACAACGGGGAUCCUGCUCUCUCUGCUACAGUCACCAUCAAGCUGUCCACAGUGGAGACUGCUGUUAAGGCCUACUCUGACAUGACUGAGGUGCCUCUAGAAUAUGACAUCUUCUCAGACCUAAACCUGUAUUUGGUCAUUGGUUUGGGCUCGGUGUCAUUUCUCCUGCUGAUCACCAUAUUGGUCACCAUCGUGCUCAAGUGUCAGAAACCCAAGCCCAGCAAAGCAGCUCCUCCCUGCAGGAACAGUGUGAUCAGUGAGAGGAACUCCACCAUCGCAGACUCCACUCUGGUCUCCAACGAUGCCUACUGGUACAGUCUGUUUCUAGCAGAGACCAAGAAAGGAAAGCUGGUGGUCAGACAGCCUGUGCCAAAGGGCUCCAGAUACAUCGUGUCCAGUAUACCAAGGAGCACAGGAAUGUCAGAGACUAGUGAAUCAGCAGCUUCUACUCUGCAGGUAGAAAUGGCCGCUUACUCCACUGCAGUUUAAACAAACCAUUAUUCCUAAAUGUAGUUUUGUGAAGCAAAAUAUCUGGCCUAUUGUUACUACAGUUCACACUGCAAUAUUUCAUUAACAGUCAGCUUUUAUCUCAAAUGUAUUAGCAAUGUCUUUUUUCAGUAGAUAUUGUUUUUUGCAAGGGAUAUAAAAUAGAAUAACCAUAAUACAUCUAGAAAUCUAAAUAAUGGGAUUCUUAAUUUUAAAAUCAUUAAGAAUGUAUUGCAUCAAAGCAAAUAUAUAGAAAACAGUAUGAAUCAGUAUAAAGCUACACAUGUAAUAUUUUGCUGUACCUCUGAUGUUGUCUGUGUUUUGUCCUAAGGAUAUUUACUGGUUUAAACUUUCAGGUAUGUGUGUUUCUUUAGUAAACAGGUAUCUACUGAAAAUGCAAUCAAGAGCCCAACUCCCGAUAUCACCCUUAACAUACACUGGUGGAAAUGCAAUACCUUUGCUGACGUAAUAAAAACAAAAAACAAACAAACAAACAAAAAAAACACUUGAAAAUUAAAGUAAAAAUAAGACAUUGAAUUUAUAAGUUAAAUGCAACCUUUUAUUGGAUAUUACAUUCAUCUAGUCUACAUAAACCUAUAGUUUUGAUUUACAAUACUUUAAAAAAUCUCAUUAAAUCUCAUAAAUCUUUUUAUAUUAGAAGUGAAAUAACAAUCAGUAACAAACUCUGCUUACUCCUCUGUUUCAUCCCACAGGUCUUUGCUCUUAAAGUUUUCUUGUUGUUUUACAGAGCGACACUUGCUAAAAAGGCUUUAGACAUUUUUGUGUGACUUUGGUCUGUGGCCUCUAUAUUAGUGCCUUUAUUAUGUUCACUGCAAAUAAAAACACAAUGAAGUCUAAAGCAGAGCACAAACCUGAUGCACAAAGAGCUCAUAUAAGACCUUUUUUCACAUAAUUAAGGUUUAUGAGUAUAGAUUCUUUUGACUAACUAUCUUUUCAUUUUCUUGUCAGGUAUGGCUUGCCAUUUCUCUUCAAAUAAACAUGCUCUUUGCAACAUUGUAUUUAAACAAUCCAUAAAAAAGAAUUCACGAUGCAGUUUUUUGCUGUUGUCAACAAUGACAGCAACAACACAGUGUGGUGCAUUUUAGCACACAUGAGACAUACACCCUGUGUGGUUCAGGUCUUCUGUUCCUGUCAAUGUCAAAGUCUGUGGAAUUGGAGAGACAGGAAAUGAGUAGCUUUUGAGUGUUCUGUAUCACCACAGUACAAAUCUGAAAUACAGAGAGCUGAACCCAUAGUUCAAACUGACACAUUUCUGCCAAUGUCAUUGGACUAUUUAAUGUAAGUUGAUGCCAUGAAUGCUGACCGACCUACCUACCUAUCUAUCUAUCUAUCUAUCUAUCUAUCUAUCUAUCUAUCUAUGAUGGUAAGUAUGAGCAGCUGGAAGAACAAACAAUUACAUAGCUAAAUGUAAAAUUAUUUUAAAUCACCUUUAUAUAACUAAUUGUAACGAGCUGCUGUAUCUGUUUUAGCGGGUCACACUAACCAUGCUUAGUCAAAGAUAACAUUGCAACUCUGUGUUCAUAGGAUACAUACACAAAUAAUCCUUUACUGUGCUUGUCUGACCAUUGAAUUGCUUUUUUUUUCUCCCCACUCUAAAGUACCCUAAAUGAGGGAAGUCCACCCUGCAGCUGGAGGCAUCCACAACCAGCAGCGGCAGUUCCACAUAAGGCCACACCUCCAGCUGCGUACCGGAUUGAUGCUGACAAGAGAGCUUCACAGAGGAAAGGAGAACCCCCCCCCCCCCCAAAUCCAUGUCGUCACACUCAGUCUGGUCCCUGCUCCUCGCAAUGUGUAGUUAUCAUGCUUUAAGACCAAACGGACUAUGGUGGCUAAACAAGGAUGCAACCCUCCCCCUUUCUGUCUUUAAGCACAUGAAAAGCCAAUCAACAAUGUUUCUCUGUCCAUUCGUUAUGCAUGAUAAGACUGCAUGGCUUCAACCACACUCCAAGACCUACAAAAAAAAAAACAAAAAUUCAAGACAAGACACUCACCAAAAAGACUGUACAGAAAAUUGCAUCAGUGGAUAUAUUCAAAGAAGCUGCAACAAGGACUACUUGAGUGGACACAGGAAUGUUGGGAUGCCUUUAAGAGACUGUUUUUCCACUCUAAAAAAGAAACACAUAAUGGAUAUUUUACAUUUUUAACCUACAUGCUUUGUCUUGCUCCAUAACAGCAUUGGUGUAUAAUAUAUAAGAUAACAUAAGAAUCAAGAAGUGAAACAGCACAAUUAACUGUGUCAAAAAGCACCAACCUAUGAUUUCAAAAGUAUGAAACAAAGGGGAAUCAGUAUUUUGUAAAUGUGGUAGCAUUUAGUAAUUUUAUGUUUUGUAACUGACUUUGUGCUUUAUAUGAGAGCCAGGCCUGAAUAUAUGAAUGAGAGUGCUAAGAGAUUAAAUUAAUUUAACAAAUUCAUCAAACAUAAGAGUGAGGCCUUCAGCCAUCAUGUAUCUGCCUUUCAGUUGAUUUUGCAUGGAAUAAUCAAUUACUUAAAUAGCUUUAGAUAUGUUAUGGUAUUGAACAAUCAGUUUUCUGUAGUUAAGCCUCACUAUUUUGUCUGUUUCAAAACAAGAUGGAAGCAUUUUAAUGGGACCACAAUGAAGAAGUACAACAGCAUUACACCUUCAUAUUACACAGUCCUAAGAUUUUGAGAUAUGGUGCACAGAUGUGUAAUCUUAUUCCUUUUUCCUAGCUUCUACUCAAGAGGAAAAUGGCUGGGAUCAGUGAGGCAUUUGUAUGGCUUCAGAAACUUGGGUGUACAGAUAACUUAAGAAUACAGUGUGCUUGAAUGUUUUGUCCACUUUGACACUACUGCAGAAUAUGAUUCUAGCAGACUGAAGACAAGUGAACACAGUUGUUGAGAACAGAUUGAUUAAUGUCUCCUUAUAACUACUGCAUAGUAUAUCUAUCACAAACAUGACCAUGUUUUACUUUUUUAUUUUUAAAGCAAAACUCUGGAUGUCUCUUAAUAUCAAUGUCUUCUGAGACUGUGUAGGAAGUUGAAAACCCAGAAUUGACUUAAUGUUUACUUUACUGAAAAACAAAAUAGCUGUGGUUGGUUUUACCCAAUGAAAGCUGUGUUCAUGUAUAUUACUGAUUACUGUGUGUAUCUGCAUAUGCAACGCAUAAGUAUGGAUACAGAUGUGACAGACAUAUACAGUAUCAUAUGUCUGUAUCUAUACAGUUUCCAGUUACACCUAGCUAAAACUAAUGCAGUCUUAUACAACAGCCCUGCAGUAAAUCCUGCCCUCAUCAAGGUUAUGAUGUUCAGUUUUUGUUGUAUCUGUUUUACAAAGGUGUUGAACUUAAUGGUUAUUUUGGAGGCUGUAAUUGGUUACAUACUCAGAGUUGUGAUGUAAAUGAAGUGAAUGAAAGAUUAGAAACAUCUGUCAGUGUAAAGGGAUACAAUUCAGCCUCCAAUAUGACCAUAUAGUCAAAUUAACACCUAUAUAAGACAAUUUCAACAAAUGCUGAAUAAAUACCUUUGAUAUGGGUAUGAUAUUAUUGCAGGGCUGUUGUGGUACACUGCAUUAGUUUUAGCUAAUAAAUCUACUUAAUAACAAGUAACUGAGUGUAUGUACUGUAUGUUUCCUUUUCAGUGCAAGUGCUAAAAUUUUUAAUGUGAACAGCUGAACUGCUGUGCCAGCAGAUUUAUGGCCCAACUAGUUAUGUGCAACAGUAAAAUAAUCAGACAUCAUGUAGUCAAAGUCUUUCGCACAGUUCACACUGCAUUACCUGUAUAGUUAUAAUGUGUUACAGGCAAAUAUAUACAUUAAGUGCUUUUGUACAGUGGUAUGUUUAUGGUGCAACAUGUAGUAAAUUGUGUCAUGUGAGCUUAUUGUAUGCUAUGGUCUGGUCAUUAUGAUCUAUUGAAUAAAAAAACAGAACUUAA